GACCGCAAACCGACACAGGUGGGUGGGUAGAACAUACCGAGGCGAUCGGGUCAACCAUGGUCAAGGGACUCGGCACAAUGGCCCCGUAGCUUCGGGAGAAGGGGUGCCCGCGCGUACGUGAACCGGCUCGCCCGGGGAGCGGAGGCGGGCCGCAGUGGAGAGGCCCAAGCGACUGUUUACCAAAAACACAGGACUCUGCAGAAGCCGCAAGGCGACGUAUAGGGUCUGACGCCUGCCCGGUGCCGGAAGGUCACGCGGAGGAGUUAGCCGUUAAGGCGAAGCCCCGAAGCCAAGCCCCGGUAAACGGCGGCCGUAACGAUAACGGUCCUAAGGUAGCGAAAUUCCUUGUCGGGUAAGUUCCGACCUGCACGAAAGGCGCAACGACUUGGGCGCUGUCUCGACCAUGGACCCGGUGAAAUUGCACUGGUCGUGAAGAUGCGACUUACCCGCGGAAGGACGGAAAGACCCCGUGAACCUUCACUGCAGCUUGGCAUUGGCCGCUGGUCCCGCGUGUAGAGGAUAGGCAGGAGGCAUCGAUCCGGAGGCGCCAGCCCCCGGGGAGCCGCCCUUGGAAUACUGCCCUCGCGCGACCGGCGUCCUAACCCGAGGCCGUCAACCGGCUCGGGGACCGUGCCAGGCGGGCAGUUUGACUGGGGCGGUCGCCUCCUAAAGGGUAACGGAGGCGCGCGAAGGUCCGCUCGGGACGGUCGGCAACCGUCCUUUUGAAUGCAAGAGUACAAGCGGGCUUGACUGCGAGGCCCACAAGCCGAGCAGGUGCGAAAGCAGGCUCUAGUGAUCCGGCGGCCCCGAGUGGGUGGGCCGUCGCUCAACGGAUAAAAGGUACUCCGGGGAUAACAGGCUGAUCUUGCCCAAGAGUCCACAUCGACGGCAAGGUUUGGCACCUCGAUGUCGGCUCAUCGCAUCCUGGGGCUGGAGCAGGUCCCAAGGGUACGGCUGUUCGCCGUUUAAAGCGGUACGCGAGCUGGGUUCAGAACGUCGUGAGACAGUUCGGUCCCUAUCCUCCGUGGGCGCAGGAGAAUCGAUGGAGGCUGCCCCCAGUACGAGAGGACCGGGGUGGACGCACCUCCGGUGAACCGGUUGUCGACCAACGGCACGGCCGGGUAGCCGCGUGCGGCGCGGAUAACCGCUGAAGGCAUCUAAGCGGGAAGCCGUUCCAGGGAUUAGUUCUCCUUCCGGUAAGGGCCCAGGUAUACUACCUGGUCGAUAGACGGCAGGUGCAAGGCUGGCGACAGCCUCAGCCGAGCCGCACUAAUCGCCCGAGCUCUU
Molecule: ribosomal RNA, 1287 nt
Filed under: metagenome
Description: bacterial LSU rRNA
Rfam family: Bacterial large subunit ribosomal RNA
Source: RNAcentral